UGGGGAAUCUUGCGCAAUGGACGAAAGUCUGACGCAGCGACGCCGCGUGGGUGAUGAAGGCCUUCGGGUUGUAAAGCCCUGUGGGGAGGGACGAAUAAGUUCCAGCUAAUACCUGGAGCGAUGACGGUACCUCCUUAGCAAGCACCGGCUAACUCUGUGCCAGCAGCCGCGGUAAGACAGAGGGUGCAAACGUUGUUCGGAAUUACUGGGCGUAAAGCGCGUGUAGGCGGCCAUGCAAGUCGGAUGUGAAAGCCCUCGGCUCAACCGGGGAAGUGCACUCGAAACUGCAAGGCUAGAGUCUCGGAGAGGAUCGUGGAAUUCUCGGUGUAGAGGUGAAAUUCGUAGAUAUCGAGAGGAACACCGGUGGCGAAGGCGGCGAUCUGGACGAUGACUGACGCUGAGACGCGAAAGCGUGGGGAGCAAACAG
This 427-nucleotide ribosomal RNA is filed under the name uncultured bacterium. RNAcentral describes it as "bacterial SSU rRNA". It matches the Rfam family "Bacterial small subunit ribosomal RNA", at positions 355 to 775 of the family's 1533-position model. The record is from RNAcentral.